GAGUAACACGUGAGUAACCUGCCCCUGACUUCGGGAUAAGCGCUGGAAACGGCGUCUAAUACCGGAUAUGAGCCGUCCUCGCAUGGGGGUGGUUGGAAAGUUUUUCGGUCAGGGAUGGGCUCGCGGCCUAUCAGCUUGUUGGUGGGGUGAUGGCCUACCAAGGCGACGACGGGUAGCCGGCCUGAGAGGGCGACCGGCCACACUGGGACUGAGACACGGCCCAGACUCCUACGGGAGGCAGCAGUGGGGAAUAUUGCACAAUGGGCGAAAGCCUGAUGCAGCGACGCCGCGUGAGGGAUGACGGCCUUCGGGUUGUAAACCUCUUUCAGCAGGGAAGAAGCGCAAGUGACGGUACCUGCAGAAGAAGCGCCGGCUAACUACGUGCCAGCAGCCGCGGUAAUACGUAGGGCGCAAGCGUUGUCCGGAAUUAUUGGGCGUAAAGAGCUCGUAGGCGGUUUGUCGCGUCUGGUGUGAAAACUCGAGGCUCAACCUCGAGCUUGCAUCGGGUACGGGCAGACUAGAGUGCGGUAGGGGAGACUGGAAUUCCUGGUGUAGCGGUGGAAUGCGCAGAUAUCAGGAGGAACACCGAUGGCGAAGGCAGGUCUCUGGGCCGCAACUGACGCUGAGGAG
This 630-nucleotide ribosomal RNA is filed under the name Cellulosimicrobium sp. Its description in RNAcentral is "bacterial SSU rRNA". It matches the Rfam family "Bacterial small subunit ribosomal RNA", at positions 108 to 753 of the family's 1533-position model. The record is from RNAcentral. Lineage: Bacteria; Bacillati; Actinomycetota; Actinomycetes; Micrococcales; Promicromonosporaceae.